CCAAUCAAACCGUGAGAUAGCUGGUUCUCCCCGAAAGCUAUUUAGGUAGCGCCUCGUGAACUAAUCUUCGGGGGUAGAGCACUGUUUCGGCUAGGGGGUCAUCCCGACUUACCAAACCGAUGCAAACUCCGAAUACCGAAGAAUGUUAUCACGGGAGACACACGGCGGGUGCUAACGUCCGUCGUGAAGAGGGAAACAACCCAGACCGCCAGCUAAGGUCCCAAAGUCAUGGUUAAGUGGGAAACGAUGUGGGAAGGCACAGACAGCCAGGAUGUUGGCUUAGAAGCAGCCAUCAUUUAAAGAAAGCGUAAUAGCUCACUGGUCGAGUCGGCCUGCGCGGAAGAUGUAACGGGGCUAAACCAUGCACCGAAGCUGCGGCAGCGAACGUAUCACUUAAAACGCUUAACGUGACGGCAAAGCCGGCAUGUUCAAGCCACACUAAACGUUGAGUUGGCCGAUGUGCUGACAAACGAACAGGCGUUUUAAGGAUACGUUCGUUGGGUAGGGGAGCGUUCUGUAAGCCGUUGAAGGUGGUCUGUGAGGGCUGCUGGAGGUAUCAGAAGUGCGAAUGCUGACAUAAGUAACGAUAAUGCGGGUGAAAAACCCGCACGCCGGAAGACCAAGGGUUCCUGUCCAACGUUAAUCGGGGCAGGGUGAGUCGACCCCUAAGGCGAGGCUGAAAAGCGUAGUCGAUGGGAAACAGGUUAAUAUUCCUGUACUUGGUGUUACUGCGAAGGGGGGACGGAGAAGGCUAGGCUAGCCGGGCGACGGUUGUCCCGGUUUAAGCAUGUAGGCGGAGUGACCAGGUAAAUCCGGUUGCUUAUCAACGCUGAGGUGUGAUGACGAGUCACUACGGUGAUGAAGUAGUUGAUGCCAUGCUUCCAGGAAAAGCCUCUAAGCAUCAGGUAACAUGAAAUCGUACCCCAAACCGACACAGGUGGUCAGGUAGAGAAUACUCAGGCGCUUGAGAGAACUCGGGUGAAGGAACUAGGCAAAAUGGUGCCGUAACUUCGGGAGAAGGCACGCUGGCAUUAGGUAAAGGGACUUGCUCCCGGCGCCGAAGCCAGUCGCAGAUACCAGCUGGCUGCAACUGUUUAAUAAAAACACAGCACUGUGCAAACACGAAAGUGGACGUAUACGGUGUGACGCCUGCCCGGUGCUGGAAGGUUAAUUGAUGGGGUCAGCCGCAAGGCGAAGCUCUUGAUCGAAGCCCCAGUAAACGGCGGCCGUAACUAUAACGGUCCUAAGGUAGCGAAAUUCCUUGUCGGGUAAGUUCCGACCUGCACGAAUGGCGUAAUGAUGGCCAGGCUGUCUCCACCCGAGACUCAGUGAAAUUGAACUCGCUGUGAAGAUGCAGUGUAC
This 1362-nucleotide ribosomal RNA is filed under the name Yersinia enterocolitica subsp. palearctica YE-150. Its description in RNAcentral is "bacterial LSU rRNA". It matches the Rfam family "Bacterial large subunit ribosomal RNA", at positions 829 to 2069 of the family's 2925-position model. The record is from RNAcentral. Lineage: Bacteria; Pseudomonadati; Pseudomonadota; Gammaproteobacteria; Enterobacterales; Yersiniaceae.